ACGAACGCUGGCGGCGUGCUUCACACAUGCAAGUCGAACGGGAUUUAGUAGACAGAAGCCUCGGCUAAAGAUUACUAAUGAGAGUGGCGAACGGGUGAGUAACGCGUGAGCAACCUGCCUAUGACAGUGGGAUAGCCUCGGGAAACCGGGAUUAAUACCGCAUAAAAUCGUAGAAACACAUGUUUCAACGGUCAAAGAUUUAUCGGUCAUAGAUGGGCUCGCGUCUGAUUAGCUAGUUGGUGAGAUAACAGCCCACCAAGGCGACGAUCAGUAGCCGGUCUGAGAGGAUGAACGGCCACAUUGGAACUGAGACACGGUCCAAACUCCUACGGGAGGCAGCAGUGGGGAAUAUUGCACAAUGGGGGAAACCCUGAUGCAGCGACGCCGCGUGAACGAAGAAGGUAUUCGUAUCGUAAAGUUCUGUCCUAUGGGAAGAUAAUGACAGUACCAUAGAAGAAAGCUCCGGCUAAAUACGUG
Molecule: ribosomal RNA, 477 nt
Filed under: uncultured bacterium
Lineage: Bacteria
Description: partial 16S ribosomal RNA
Rfam family: Bacterial small subunit ribosomal RNA
Source: RNAcentral